This 272-nucleotide long non-coding RNA is filed under the name Gossypium raimondii (Peruvian cotton). RNAcentral describes it as "long non-coding RNA (GRAI_LNC007660)". The record is from RNAcentral. Lineage: Eukaryota; Viridiplantae; Streptophyta; Magnoliopsida; Malvales; Malvaceae.
CUUGAGCCGUCCCAUGCGAAAACAGAAAACAGGACUAAGAUUGUCAACAACAGGAUAGAUUAAUGACUCCGGUUCCUAUCCAGCAGCAAGAAACCCUACGAAAAUAAGGGAGAAGACGAGAGACCAACCAAACGGAUAACAAAAAUGAGAAAGAUAAAGAAAAACAGAUAACUCAAAGAUAAGAGCACCAAACUAAAGAAAAGAAAAACAAAACACAAGAAAACCAAAAGCAAAAUUUUAAUAAAAAAAGACAAGAAAUCGCACAACAAAAU